RNAcentral lists this non-coding RNA (107 nucleotides) under Streptococcus sp. DD10. RNAcentral's name for it is "Streptococcus RNA 266". It matches the Rfam family "Streptococcus RNA 266". The record is from Rfam by way of RNAcentral. Lineage: Bacteria; Bacillati; Bacillota; Bacilli; Lactobacillales; Streptococcaceae.
AAUGAUGGUUUUUAACUUUUCAUUUUAGGUUUAUGGAAUUUUUCAUACAAGAAAAUAGGCUCCACAAUUCCUACAGUGGACUGACCCACUGCAGAAAUUAUAGAGUC